Molecule: ribosomal RNA, 739 nt
Filed under: Actinomyces urogenitalis
Lineage: Bacteria; Bacillati; Actinomycetota; Actinomycetes; Actinomycetales; Actinomycetaceae
Description: bacterial SSU rRNA
Rfam family: Bacterial small subunit ribosomal RNA
Source: RNAcentral
ACACAUGCAAGUCGAACGGUGAAGCUCCAGCUUGCUGGGGUGGAUGAGUGGCGAACGGGUGAGUAACACGUGAGUAACCUGCCCCCUUCUUCUGGAUAACUGCUUGAAAGGGUAGCUAAUACGGGAUAUUCUGGCCUGCUCGCAUGGGUGGGUUUGGAAAGGUUUUUUCUGGUGGGGGAUGGGCUCGCGGCCUAUCAGCUUGUUGGUGGGGUGAUGGCCUACCAAGGCGGUGACGGGUAGCCGGCCUGAGAGGGUGGACGGCCACACUGGGACUGAGACACGGCCCAGACUCCUACGGGAGGCAGCAGUGGGGAAUAUUGCACAAUGGGCGCAAGCCUGAUGCAGCGACGCCGCGUGAGGGAUGGAGGCCUUCGGGUUGUAAACCUCUUUCGCCAGUGAAGCAGGCCAUCUUCUUUGUGGGGUGGUUGACGGUAGCUGGAUAAGAAGCGCCGGCUAACUACGUGCCAGCAGCCGCGGUAAUACGUAGGGCGCGAGCGUUGUCCGGAAUUAUUGGGCGUAAAGAGCUCGUAGGCGGCUGGUCGCGUCUGUCGUGAAAUCCCCUGGCUUAACUGGGGGCUUGCGGUGGGUACGGGCCGGCUUGAGUGCGGUAGGGGAGACUGGAAUUCCUGGUGUAGCGGUGGAAUGCGCAGAUAUCAGGAGGAACACCGGUGGCGAAGGCGGGUCUCUGGGCCGUUACUGACGCUGAGGAGCGAAAGCGUGGGGAGCGAACAGGAUUAGA